This 224-nucleotide long non-coding RNA is filed under the name Mytilus galloprovincialis (Mediterranean mussel). Lineage: Eukaryota; Metazoa; Mollusca; Bivalvia; Mytilida; Mytilidae. The record is from RNAcentral.
UGCUAAGUGUCGAUUGUAAAAAGGGAGAAAAAAAAACCGUGGGAAAACCUAUCUGAACAUAACACGGAAGAACUACCAACUUCUGGUUUAAAUUAGAAAACCACAACAAGGUCAAUUAACACACCUGUGGAUAUAUACCUCUACAUACUAAUUCGAACUUCCUGUUUCUAGUAAUUUUAAUUUAACACAUUAAAAGUAUAAUUCAGUACAAAUGUUAUUCUCGG